GAUGAACGCUGGCGGCGUGCUUAACACAUGCAAGUCGAACGGAAAGGCUCCUGCUUGCAGGGGUACUCGAGUGGCGAACGGGUGAGUAACACGUGGGUGAUCUGCCCUGCACUUCGGGAUAAGCCUGGGAAACUGGGUCUAAUACCGGAUAGGACCACAUUUUGGAUGGUGUGGUGGAAAGUUUUUCGGUGUGGGAUGAGCUCGCGGCCUAUCAGCUUGUUGGUGGGGUAAUGGCCUACCAAGGCGUCGACGGGUAGCCGGCCUGAGAGGGUGUACGGCCACAUUGGGACUGGGAUACGGCCCAGACUCCUACGGGAGGCAGCAGUGGGGAAUAUUGCACAAUGGGCGCAAGCCUGAUGCAGCGACGCCGCGUGGGGGAUGACGGCCUUCGGGUUGUAAACUCCUUUCGCUAGGGACGAAGCGCAAGUGACGGUACCUGGAGAAGAAGCACCGGCUAACUACGUG
RNAcentral lists this ribosomal RNA (465 nucleotides) under uncultured bacterium. RNAcentral's name for it is "partial 16S ribosomal RNA". It matches the Rfam family "Bacterial small subunit ribosomal RNA", at positions 28 to 507 of the family's 1533-position model. The record is from RNAcentral.